AGAUUCUCCACUGUCUCCUUUGGGCCCUGGUCCACCAUCUACUCCCUGGAUGAAAAAAAUGGCAUGUCGAAGGAAUUAUCAAACAAUUAGUUGAUGAGAAAUUAAUAAUAAAACAGUAACAACAAUAAUACUCACAUUGGCACCAGCUUCUCCAGGAGGUCCAGAAUCUCCGGGGAAACCAAUUGGGCCCUGUGGCCACAAACGGCCCAGCAGGACCCACGCCACCAGGCCUUCCUGGCUGGCCAAUAGCGCCAGCCGACCCGUCAGGACCCCUCUCUCCUGUGGCACCCUGGACAUAAAAAGAGAGAGCAGAUCCCGGUAAUCCAUUCUCACCCGGUGAUCCCGGUGAACCAGGAUGGCCUCUGUCUCCAGUUGGUCCUGUCUCCCCAGAUUUUCCCUGGAAACGAGCAAAUUACACAACACGCAAAACAGGUGUUUUUUAAAACUGGCGUUUGAAAUAUGUGUGCUGUGUGCUCAACAGUCAACUAAUUUACUAUGGGCUGAUCGUCUUACCUGUGGUCCAACAACACCAGGGGGACCAGGAGGUCCAUUUUUGCCUUGGAAUCCCUGAAGAAAAGGACAAGUGUGUUUGGUGAACCUCAGAGUUGAAACAUUAGGGUGCAGACAUGGCUGGUUGUUUUACUAGAUUUUGCAGAGGCCUCUCAACUUGUACUCAGAUUUCAGUAAUUGAGUGUCUUAGCUUUUCGACUUUUUUCCC
This is a long non-coding RNA of Centropristis striata (black sea bass), 718 nucleotides long. RefSeq lists it as uncharacterized. The transcript is spliced from 3 exons. The record is from RefSeq and is a predicted model, not a curated record. NCBI's taxonomy places the organism in Eukaryota, Metazoa, Chordata, Actinopteri, Perciformes, Serranidae.